RNAcentral lists this ribosomal RNA (482 nucleotides) under uncultured bacterium. Its description in RNAcentral is "bacterial SSU rRNA". It matches the Rfam family "Bacterial small subunit ribosomal RNA", at positions 30 to 507 of the family's 1533-position model. The record is from RNAcentral.
UGAACGCUAGCGGCAGGCUUAAUACAUGCAAGUCGUGGGGCAGCAUGAGUAGCAAUACUUGAUGGCGACCGGCAAACGGGUGAGGAACACGUACACAACCUUCCUUCAAGCGGGGAAUAGCCCAGAGAAAUUUGGAUUAAUACCCAUAAUAUAUUUGAUAAGGCAUCUUAUUAAUAUUAAAGCUUCGGCACUUGAUGAUGGGUGUGCGGCUGAUUAGAUAGUUGGCGGGGUAACGGCCCACCAAGUCUACGAUCAGUAGCUGAUGUGAGAGCAUGAUCAGCCACACGGGCACUGAGACACGGGCCCGACUCCUACGGGAGGCAGCAGUAAGGAAUAUUGGACAAUGGACGAAAGUCUGAUCCAGCCAUGCCGCGUGAAGGAUUAAGGUCCUCUGGAUUGUAAACUUCUUUUAUAUGGGACGAAAAAAGGGCAUUCUUGUUCACUUGACGGUACCAUAUGAAUAAGCACCGGCUAACUCCGUG